AAUUAUAGCUGAAUUUCACUAAUUAUGUAAUGACUGAUACCCCCACAAACAUAAACAAGACAACAAGUGCAGUUUUAUUUAUCUUAGUGGUUUCCCAUUGCUCAUCUGCAGUCCCAGAUAAAAGCUUCUCUCCUAGAAAAUAAAGAAUAGAAACAAAUGUUGGGCUCCAUGUGUAAUAUUUUACCACUACCAGUUCUUCAUGUUUCUAGCACAAAUCCUAGGCACAGAUGAGGUUCCCAUAAUUCAGAGUUGAAAAAAAGACAAUGUACAAAUCUCUGGCUGGCUGUAUAAAGCAGCCUCUAAUCAGGAUCCCAGCUUCUUGCUUCAUGAGAACACAGGUUCUUCUCACUCCUUUUUCACAUUAGUGUUUCUUCCAUGUCCAGCAUAAGCCCAGAUAACCACUCCCGACGAGACACACAGACAGCAGCAGAAGGAAAGCAAAAAAUGUCCUAUCGAUUUGAGUCUCCCGCACUUCUGCUUCUUCCUCACUCAGCUCUCUGUACCAUGUGAUCACUGCAGUCACGUGACUGCUGUGAUGUCAGAGUGUCCUUUAGAGGGAUAGAAUCUAGCCGCUACCCUUAAUUGACUGACUGCUAUGUCUGUGAUUCAUGUUCAGAGCAGUCCACCCAUGCGGCAUGUUCCCAUGGGGAGAAUUUCCUGCAAGAGAUUGUGUCACUGACAACAGCAGGUGUGAAGUCUGCCAAACACCGGAUUCGAUUGACAGGGCUCCAUUUAAGAAGGGCCGGACAGAUAGAGGCAGAACUCUCCGCCUGGCAUCAUGGAUAGCGGGCAGCAAUACGCUGUCCACAUUUACCAUUGUACAAUCUGCUGCGUGUGCUCGCGAGCCUAGAAGGAGGCAUCCGGGAGGAUUGAGAAAUGCCACUUUAAAGUUUGUGUAGCUGUUUAAGAAGCAGUAGUCUUAACUUUUGGUACAAGCGAGCCUGGAGCUGAAGGCACUCCAAAGCUACAUUCACAGUUUCAUAAAUGGAGCCCUUAGGGUAAAAUAUGAUAAUAUAAGACCAUUCUUAUAAAAAAAUGUAAUUAAUAAAACAUUAUGCACUAAAAUGAACUUUGGAAUUUAGACAAACUAUCUUUGUCUAGCUAUAAGAGUAUACCACUUGCUGGGGGAUGGACAAAUAUUGGAUUUUGCAUUUAUGAAUCUGAGCAUUGAAUAAAGCAGUACAUUUGAAGAUGA
This is a long non-coding RNA of Bombina bombina (fire-bellied toad), 1195 nucleotides long. RefSeq lists it as uncharacterized. The record is from RefSeq and is a predicted model, not a curated record. The transcript is spliced from 3 exons. NCBI's taxonomy places the organism in Eukaryota, Metazoa, Chordata, Amphibia, Anura, Bombinatoridae.